GACUUGAGCGCCAGCGAGAGAGCGUUGCCGCAGGCAACGACCCGAAGGGCGAAGCGUGCAGCGCUGAGUAAUCCUUCCCCCACCACCA
This 88-nucleotide small RNA is filed under the name Escherichia coli. RNAcentral describes it as "partial RtT sRNA". It matches the Rfam family "RtT RNA", at positions 45 to 130 of the family's 130-position model. Rfam says of the family: This family represents a bacterial cis-regulatory element known as RtT RNA. The exact function of RtT is unknown although it is thought that it may be involved in changing the cellular response in relation to amino acid starvation. Lineage: Bacteria; Pseudomonadati; Pseudomonadota; Gammaproteobacteria; Enterobacterales; Enterobacteriaceae. The record is from RNAcentral. RNAcentral also lists the same sequence under 1 other name.